GCGGAAGUGGCGGAAUUGGUAGACGCGCAGGAUUCAGGAUCCUGUGCCCGAGAGGGUGUGGGGGUUCGACUCCCCCCUUCCGCAUCA
RNAcentral lists this transfer RNA (87 nucleotides) under Deltaproteobacteria bacterium. RNAcentral's name for it is "tRNA-Leu". It matches the Rfam family "tRNA". From Rfam's summary of the family: Transfer RNA (tRNA) molecules are approximately 80 nucleotides in length. Lineage: Bacteria; Pseudomonadati; Myxococcota; Myxococcia. The record is from RNAcentral.